AGCCCUUUGCAGGACGUGCAACAGGGUUGUGGCUCGUGUGUUCGGUCUCUGCCUGCUGAAACCCCUUAUGGGAGGUGGAGCAUGCAGACGGACGGGUGCAGGAGCCAGGGUGCAAAAGCUGGGGCGCUGGGCUUCCAGCCCCACGGCAGUGUCCAGGGGCAGGAUCCCGUGAUUCCCGGAGCCCAAAUGGGCGUGUGUUACAGUGUGCUCUUUUAGCCUUACCAUCAGCUGACGGCUUAAGUGUUAACCAGCUCAAUAGACCCUCUGCCUUUUUGCAAGCGCAGAGGGUCAGUGUGACAGUUUCUGUAUCUCAGCUCUUGUCUCACCUCCCAGAAGAAUCAGGUCACACAUGGACUUGAAGGAUGAACACCAGAGACUGGGUAAUUAAUAAAAAGAAGAAAUUGAUCUGGCCUACAGUUCUGGAGCCUUGGAAGUCCGAGAUCAAGGAGCUGCAUCUGAUAAAUACCUGGAGUGGGAUUGCUAGAUCACAUGGAAAACACAGAUCCUGGUGCCGAACAUGAGGACAGGGCAGGCCGAAGGAGAAAGUG
RNAcentral lists this long non-coding RNA (548 nucleotides) under Homo sapiens (human). RNAcentral's name for it is "non-protein coding ZBED3-AS1:49". The record is from RNAcentral. Lineage: Eukaryota; Metazoa; Chordata; Mammalia; Primates; Hominidae.